This 497-nucleotide ribosomal RNA is filed under the name uncultured bacterium. RNAcentral describes it as "partial 16S ribosomal RNA". It matches the Rfam family "Bacterial small subunit ribosomal RNA", at positions 28 to 507 of the family's 1533-position model. The record is from RNAcentral.
GAUGAACGCUGGCGGCGUGCCUAAUACAUGCAAGUCGAGCGAACAGACGAGGAGCUUGCUCCUCUGACGUUAGCGGCGGACGGGUGAGUAACACGUGGAUAACCUACCUAUAAGACUGGGAUAACUUCGGGAAACCGGAGCUAAUACCGGAUAAUAUAUUGAACCGCAUGGUUCAAUAGUGAAAGACGGUUUUGCUGUCACUUAUAGAUGGAUCCGCGCCGUAUUAGCUAGUUGGUAAGGUAACGGCUUACCAAGGCAACGAUGCGUAGCCGACCUGAGAGGGUGAUCGGCCCCACUGGAACUGAGACACGGUCCAGACUCCUACGGGAGGCAGCAGUAGGGAAUCUUCCGCAAUGGGCGAAAGCCUGACGGAGCAACGCCGCGUGAGUGAUGAAGGUCUUCGGAUCGUAAAACUCUGUUAUUAGGGAAGAACAAAUGUGUAAGUAACUAUGCACGUCUUGACGGUACCUAAUCAGAAAGCCACGGCUAACUACGUG